This is a long non-coding RNA of Peromyscus leucopus (white-footed mouse), 4706 nucleotides long. RefSeq lists it as uncharacterized. The transcript is spliced from 3 exons. The record is from RefSeq and is a predicted model, not a curated record. Lineage: Eukaryota; Metazoa; Chordata; Mammalia; Rodentia; Cricetidae.
CCACCAUCAACCUGUCCAUCCACCCACCAUCUACCUGUCCAUCCACCCACCAUCUACCUGUCCAUUACCCACCAUCUACCUGUCCAUCCACCCAUCCAUCCACCACCUACCCAGCCCAUAAAUACAUACAGGCAUAUAUUGUACUGCUUACUUUUCUCAUUGCUAUAACAAAAGCAACUUAAACAAGGAACGAAGGGUUUCUUUUGUCUCACAGUUUGAGGGGAUACAGUCAGUCAUGAUGGGAAGUCAUGGCCACAGGAGUAUGAGGCAGCUGCUCACAUCGUGUGUCUAAAAUCAGGAAGCAGAAAAAGAUGAAUUCUAGUGUUUGCUCACUUUCUCCCAUUUAGUCAGUCAAGGAUCCCACUUCGCCAUUGGGGGGUGGGGUUUCCCAGUUUAGUUAACCCAACCUAGAACUAGACCCUCCUCUCUCACAGACAGCCCAGAGAUUUGCCUCCUGGGUGAUUACAGAUCUUAUGUUGGCAACUGGUAUAAACCAUCACAUAACCUGCCCAUCCAGCGUACUGAUACAUCUAGCUAACUAACCAUCCACUCAUCCAGCCGUCUCUGCUCUCAUCCGCCCUCUGGGAAAUAAGCAUGCAUUUGUCCACUCAUUCACUACCCUUGUUCCGAUGAUCUACUCAGAUGGACUGUGUACUAAGUGCUAAGAAACUCAGAGGCAACAGGCCUGAAUUCUGAUCUCAAGGCAUGUUUAAGAGGUCAAUGACAUACACACAAAUAUUCCCAGUAAAGUAACUAGGGUGGUGUCUUUAGGGGGAAGCAAGGACUCUGAAGUCAGAGGAAGGAGGAGGCUCUUCUGAGAAUGUGGUUAUACUACGGGCUCACUCAUAACCUAAGCACUGGACUCAUGGAGGAUAGCUGUUUCUGUAUUCUUCAUUAGCCCAAGGCCCUUGAAAAAUAGGGAAUCACAACACCCAGGCUAGAAGACCCUUGUUCUGGACCCAAGUAUAACCAUCUUCCUUUGGUCCCUUCAAACUGCACUCUAUUCCUUGGGGGAUAGCCUGGGAGACUAAAGGCCAUGCCCAUCUUGAGCCCUCCUGUUCUUCCAGGUCAUGCUACAAAGACAUAGCAACCAGCAUUUUUAGCCCUAAAGGACCCAAGAACUCAUUUCUAGGGUCUCUUCAGUUCCUUUCAUGUGUGGGGGCUCCUGAGAUCUCUGAAGCUUCUGCCUGCUCCACUUAAUCCCUGGGUGCCAAUCCCGGUGACAUAUCAUGUCACUGGUAUAGGUACCUCAGAGCCCACACUGAGGGCCAUGCUGCUGGUAAUCGGGAUGGCCCUUGGGAAUGCGGACUGGGAUUUCCAUAGGUGUGCAGAUAAGGCCCCCUGUGUUGGCCAGGAGAAGCAGCUACAGGUCAAAGACAGGAGCCUGCUGUCCCUACACUAUCAAUUUGAGCACAGAGUUCAAGAAUGCUACAUUCAAACAUGGGAUUCCAGACCAUUGUGAGGGCACAUUGUGAAGCUCCUGAUUUCAGCUGCAAGUUUCAAGUUCUUUCAGGAUGCAAAGCUGCAAACAAGCUUCCCAAGGCCAUGGGCAGUGUACCCCUUACCCCAACUAAAAUGCAAGAUCCUCAGAGGCAGGGAUGUUUGUGGAUUCUGUUCUCUGGUAUAUCCCCAAGGCUCAGGACAGUGCAGACAAACAAAGAUAGAUGCUUGUAAUCCACUGAUUGGAACCAGCAGAGCCAAGGAACCAGGAAGAGACAUCAGUUUUGGAAGAAGUCUUUGGAGUUUAGUGUCCUGGAACCAAGAUGCUGUGCAUAUGGAUGGACUCACUCUCCUGAUGUUAGAUGCCUUCCUCUACACAGGAGGACCCGAGCUCACAUCUCCACCACUCUAAGGACAACAGAGGAUGUGUAUUUCAAAUUACCUGCUACAGUGGUGCCUUUCCAAUAGAAUCCACCAAUGCUGUUGCCUCAGUCUCCCUUGAAGACAAGUUUCCCACGGAACAGGCUGCAAAGGUGCUUGACUCUUGGCAACCCUCUUGAAGUGGUACACAGGAAAGUGCUGGAGCCCUGUCUCCACAUGCAAAGCUGCUUCCCAGGGGGCUCAUUAGAAGCAACAUCCCAUAUACUGCCCCAGGACCCCAGCAGUCCCUUCCGGAUAUUCCUCUCUCCUGGUGUUGCUGACCCAUGGCCAGGUCCCCAGGGCCGGGUGUUGACUCCGAUGCUCCACUGGGUCACUUUGUCGGUGUUGAACCUGGCACCAUGUACCCUGGCUGCCCAGAGGUUGGAAGAAGUGUCUGAAAGCUGCUUCCACACUUGGCUUUCUCCUUGGAAAAUUCUAGGCUGCUCCCUACCACCAAGUAGGCUGGCCGCCUGCUUGGCCUCCCAGCAUCUUCCUGCCUGAGGGGGCCGCUCCCUCCUGGAGCCAGCCCUCGGCCGAAGUGGACACCCACGCUUCUUUUCAAAUCUCAUAAACUUGCUCUUGACAUGAGAACACCUUUGCAGAGCAAAUGCGAGUACUCUCUAAGGGGCUGCUCUGUAAACUGGCUACCCCCAAAUGGGAGAUGAGCUGAGGUCAGGACAGCCAGACAGGGCUCCUAGAGCUCUGGACAGGAUUCUGUUGUAAAAACGGAGAACUCUUUGCAUGGUGUGCCGAGGCCUUCCAUAAACUGCUCUCCUUGGCCUUGUAUCCCCGCGUCCCAUCAUGCAGAACCCCCGCCACAUUUGGGUAUCCCACAGCAUGGAGACUUCGUUCCCAUGAGAACACAUUUCAGUCCUAUAAAACCCAGUCCCAGCCUCCCUGCAAAGUUCCUUGUCCCCCUGGGGCUGUUCCUUGCCCUGAAACAUGGCAGCAGAUGUCUGAACCUCUGGGCUGCCAUGCUGCACAUGCUAAUUCUCAGCCAUUAUUUCCAACCAACAUGUCCUGGGGUAGGAAUUACCAUCAGAACUGCCCUUCAGUAAGUCCCCACAAUAUGCUGACUACGUCGGCUAACUUCAUGUGUCAACUUGGCUGAGGAAGGUGGCCUGAGACGGGGCCAAGCAUUACGCAGGAUGUUUCUGUGAGGGUGGUUUUCAGAUGAGACUAGCAUUUUAACUCGGUGUUCUUGGAGAAAAGCAGGGUGCCCUCCAUAGUGUGGGUGGGCCCUGUGCAAUCGGUUCAGGGCCUGCAUGGAGCAAGAGAAUGACCUCCACACAGAGGGUGUCUUUCCAGUAGUCAUCCCCUAGUCUUGAACUUCAAAACCAGACUCCUCUCUGUGUCUCCAGCUGCCAGACCACCCUGCACACUAGACUUGCCAACCUCUUUAACUGUGUGGCCAUCUUUCCAGAAAGCCCAGGCUAAUUCAGCGAGGGAGCCAGGGCAGUCAAGAGAAAUGUUAUGAUGUGGAAGGGGAAGGAGGAACAGUGUCCUCAGAGUACAGAUGACCCUCUCACCCAGUGUCACAGAUAGAGGAGUACCUUGCCAUCUUACCUAGGUAAGAAGAACUGCUCAAAGUCAGGGGUUUCUUUGAUGCCUCAGGGUCACAGCAUGGAUGUACUCCAUGGGUCAUGGCAUGGCCAUAUUUAAUGAUAAUUUAUCACUUUUGUGUGUGCUAUACAAGUGUGUGUGUGUGCAUGUGUAUCAGGUCAGAGGUCAGCCUUGGCUAUAGUUCCUCAGGUCCCAUCCACCAUGUUCUUUGAGGUAGGGUCUCUCACUGGCCUGGAGCUCAACAAGUAGCCUAGGCUGCCUGGCCAGUGAGGCCCAAGGAUUGCCUUGCCUCUGCCUCCCCAACGCUGGAAUUACAAGCAUAUGGUACCAUCACUCCAAGCUUUUUAAAUGUGAGUUCUUGGGGACUGAACUCAGGGAGUCAUGCCCGCAAGGCAAGCACUUGGGUGACCAAUCUCUCUUCCCAGUCCAAAAACUGAUCACUUUUGCAGCCAAGUCAUCUUGUCCGUGUGCUCUUCUACCCACAGGAAACAACUAGCCUGCUUUGUGGUUGACAUUUGACUCCACUAAGCAUGUGUGAAACACCGAGCUGGCUGUCUUGGCUGCAGCAAGGGGGGUCAGCGGUGGCUUUGCAAGCUCUCACAGGCCUUCUCCGUCAGCAGCCUCAGUGGGAGGCCGAGCCUCACUCAUGUACAACAUGGCACCCCUCCCUCCUUCCUGUCCACAGCCUGGCAUGACCCUUCCCCAAAUCGCUUUGGUUCUCUCUAACCUGAAUCCGGCUUCCGUGGCAUCGCCAGAUGACUCCAGCCUUGGUUUCUCAGGACUUAGACUCAACCAAAGAGCUGACUCUGGUUCCCACAAAGAUUCGAAUUUCUGCUUGUGUGGUAAUCCUGCUAGCCCAUUCAACCUUCCUUAAGUCAGUCAGAUUCUGAGGCUUACACCAUGCAGUCUCAUCAACUUUCCUUGUGAGCAGAGACUUGAGCUCAGUGAGAAUAGGGCGGAGAGGAGGGAGAGGCCCUUCAUGUCCAUCGAGUAGCACCCUUGUGUCCAUUGAGUACACCUCCAGGCCUGGUAAUGAAUAGGCUGUAUAUUUCAUAGAUCCCAACAUGUAAAUUUCUCCAACGUAUGCAUAUUUUGAACAAACUGCCAGUCACACAGCUGGUGUGGACAUGAUUGCUUCCAUGUGAUAGCAACAUUUCUAGGGUGAGUGACUUGACCCAAAAUGCCAGAGGUGAUAGAAGGAUACUCUUCUGAGAAACUCUCUCUCUCUCUCUCUGUCUCUCUCUCUCUGUCUCUCUCUCUCUGUCUCUCUCUCUGUCUCUCUC